GAUGAACGCUGGCGGCGUGCCUAAUACAUGCAAGUCGAGCGAACAGAUGAGGCGCUUGCUCCUUUGACGUUAGCGGAGCAGGGGUGAGAAACACGUGUAUAACCUACCUGUAAGUCUGGGAUAACUUCGGGAAACCGGAGCUAAUACCGGAUAAGAUACUGCACCGCAUUGGUCAUUGGUGAAAUACGGUUUUGCGGUCUCUUAUAGAUGCAUCCGCGCCGGAUUAGCUAGUUGGUAAGGUAAAGGCCUACCAAGGCAACGAUGCGUAACCGAGCUAAGGGGGUGGUCGGCCACACUGGAGCUGGGACACGGUCCAGACUCCUACGGGAGGCAGCAGUAGGGAAUCUUACGCAGUGGUCGAAAGCCUGACGGAGCAACGCCGCGUGAGUUAUGAAGGUCUUGGGAUCGUAAAACUCUGUUAUUGGGUAAAAACAAAUGUGGAAGUUACUAUGCACGGCUUGACGGUACCUAGUCAGAAAGCCCCGGCUAACUACGUG
This 497-nucleotide ribosomal RNA is filed under the name uncultured bacterium. RNAcentral describes it as "partial 16S ribosomal RNA". It matches the Rfam family "Bacterial small subunit ribosomal RNA", at positions 28 to 507 of the family's 1533-position model. The record is from RNAcentral.